Cannabis sativa is the source of this 395-nucleotide long non-coding RNA. RefSeq lists it as uncharacterized. NCBI's taxonomy places the organism in Eukaryota, Viridiplantae, Streptophyta, Magnoliopsida, Rosales, Cannabaceae. The transcript has 2 exons. The record is from RefSeq and is a predicted model, not a curated record.
CUUAACCCUAAAACAGCCCCCUUCCCUCUCUCUCUCUCUAUCUCUCUUUGUAUUUGGUUGAAAAAUUGGUGAUUUGCUUGGUAUUCAAGCUUGAAAUUGAAGAAUUGUUUGAGGAGUUGUGGCUUGAUCAUUGCAUUGAAGCUUGAGGAAAGGGUAAAUCUAUCUCUGAUCAGCCAUGAGUAUGGGAGUUGGGCGAUGUAUGUACAUGUUCGGGCCACACUAGACCAAGCGGGUUGGGGUCUACCAGCGUUGAAACUUUUGUAACUCUAUUUUUGCCGCUUAGGUCGGCUAAGGAGAAAAGACUUGUAAUAUUUUGUAAAAUGAUUUUUUUUGGGAUCCCGAAACAUGUAACUUUUGUUUGUAAGGUUAAAAUUAUUACAAGUUUAUUUUCAUUC